Molecule: unclassified non-coding RNA, 339 nt
Filed under: soil metagenome
Description: partial contains 5.8S ribosomal RNA, internal transcribed spacer 2, and large subunit ribosomal RNA
Rfam family: 5.8S ribosomal RNA (bases 1-120)
Source: RNAcentral
GAUGAAGAACGCAGCGAAAUGCGAUACGUAGUGUGAAUUGCAGAAUUCAGUGAAUCAUCGAAUCUUUGAACGCACAUUGCACCUCUCGGUAUUCCGGGAGGUAUGCCUGUUCGAGCGUCAUUUGUACCCUCAAGCUCUGCUUGGUGUUGGGUGUUUGUUCCGCCUCUGUGUGUGAACUUGCCUCAAAACAAUUGGCAGCCGGCGUACUUGUUUCGGAGCGCAGCACAUUUUGCGAUCCAGAUCAACGUACAGCGGCAUCCAAGAAGCCUUAUUUAACGCUCUUGACCUCGGAUCAGGUAGGGAUACCCGCUGAACUUAAGCAUAUCAAUAAGCGGAGGA